UUCCAGUCUCCCCUACCGCACUCAAGCCCGCCCGUACCCGGCGCGGAUCCACCGUUAAGCGAUGGACUUUCACACCGGACGCGACGAACCGCCUACGAGCCCUUUACGCCCAAUAAUUCCGGAUAACGCUUGCACCCUACGUAUUACCGCGGCUGCUGGCACGUAGUUAGCCGGUGCUUAUUCGAAAGGUACACUCACCCCGAAGGGCUUGCUCCCAGUCAAAAGCGGUUUACAACCCGAAGGCCGUCAUCCCGCACGCGGCGUCGCUGCAUCAGGCUUGCGCCCAUUGUGCAAUAUUCCCCACUGCUGCCUCCCGUAGGAGUCUGGGCCGUAUCUCAGUCCCAAUGUGGCCGGUCGCCCUCUCAGGCCGGCUACCCGUCGUAGGCUCGGUGGGCCGUUACCCCGCCGACUACCUGAUAGGACGCGACCCCAUCCCAUACCGAUGAAUCUUUCCCAACAC
RNAcentral lists this ribosomal RNA (460 nucleotides) under uncultured Bifidobacterium sp. RNAcentral describes it as "partial 16S ribosomal RNA". Lineage: Bacteria; Bacillati; Actinomycetota; Actinomycetes; Bifidobacteriales; Bifidobacteriaceae. The record is from RNAcentral.